RNAcentral lists this ribosomal RNA (253 nucleotides) under uncultured bacterium. Its description in RNAcentral is "partial 16S ribosomal RNA". It matches the Rfam family "Bacterial small subunit ribosomal RNA", at positions 524 to 776 of the family's 1533-position model. The record is from RNAcentral.
UACGUAGGGGGCAAGCGUUGUCCGGAAUCAUUGGGCGUAAAGAGCGUGUAGGCGGCUUGGUAAGUCCGCUGUGAAAGUCCAGGGCUCAACCCUGGAAUGCCGGUGGAAACUGCCAAGCUCGAGUCCGGAAGAGGCGAGUGGAAUUCCUGGUGUAGCGGUGAAAUGCGCAGAUAUCAGGAGGAACACCAAUGGCGAAGGCAGCUCGCUGGGACGGUACUGACGCUGAGACGCGAAAGCGUGGGGAGCAAACAGG